Molecule: ribosomal RNA, 301 nt
Filed under: uncultured bacterium
Lineage: Bacteria
Description: partial 16S ribosomal RNA
Rfam family: Bacterial small subunit ribosomal RNA
Source: RNAcentral
CAGUAGCCGCGGUAAUACGAAGGGGGCUAGCGUUGUUCGGAUUUACUGGGCGUAAAGCGCACGUAGGCGGAUCGAUCAGUCAGGGGUGAAAUCCCAGAGCUCAACUCUGGAACUGCCUUUGAUACUGUCGAUCUGGAGUAUGGAAGAGGUGAGUGGAAUUCCGAGUGUAGAGGUGAAAUUCGUAGAUAUUCGGAGGAACACCAGUGGCGAAGGCGGCUCACUGGUCCAUUACUGACGCUGAGGUGCGAAAGCGUGGGGAGCAAACAGGAUUAGAUACCCGGGUAGUCCCUGUCUCUUAUAC